Molecule: ribosomal RNA, 133 nt
Organism: Lupinus angustifolius (narrow-leaved blue lupine)
Lineage: Eukaryota; Viridiplantae; Streptophyta; Magnoliopsida; Fabales; Fabaceae
Rfam family: Bacterial small subunit ribosomal RNA
Source: Rfam
CUCCGCCCGUCACACUAUGGGAGCUGGUCAUGCCCGAAGUCGUUACCUUAACCGCAAGGAGGGGGAUGCCAAAGGCAGGGCUAGUGAUUGGAGUGAAGUCGUAACAAGGUAGCCGUACUGGAAGGUGCGGCUG